GUACUUUAGUAGGCUACUACAAUACACCCAUUGACGCUAUGAUAAGAUGACUACGCAUAUCUCAAAAAUAGAAUUCAAUUAAGGGUUGUUGUUUAGAUGGUGUACAAUGUUCAAUACUGAUGGUUGAGGAGGGAGUGGUGGUUUAGAAGGGGCUUUGAUGACAUUGACGCCACUUCCUCUGUCUUUAAAAGUCAGACCGACAGAGAGACAGAAGUAACCAGGGCUUAAGUGAUAGAGAUGUUCCUGCACUGGUGUCUGCUGUCGAUCAUGGUUUAUCUUUUCAUUCACCUCUUUUCUAUAGAAGCCAUUCUCUGGGUGAAGACAGGGGGGAAGUUUACCAUAAAGUGCUCCACCACUCUAAAAGACCAGGAAGGAAUGUACCUGUAUGUUGGGCUGGACAGGGACAGGGAGGUGUUGUAUUACCACCAGCGUGACUCCAAGCUGUCCCCCAGGAAAGGCUACUGGGACAGAGUGAAGACUGAGGGACCUGUGGACCAACUGACCAUCACCGUCAGUAACCUGACCAUAGAGGACACAGGAGUCUACUGGUGUGUUUACACAAAUGUCAACAAAUCCACGUUCAAUAAUUUGAUCAUCCAAGGCAAAGGCUCCACUCUGGUGGUGGUGAAUGGCUCAGACAGUGUAGUAGUGUGGGCACAAUAGCAUCUCAUUCGUGUGCAAGAUCUUGAGAAUCAACUGUACAUGUGAUGGAAGAAUGCACUGUGCAUGCAGUGGGUUGCAAUUCCAUUGAAUUGGGGAUAGUUUAAGCAAAAUAUUCCACAAGACCUAGGAUUGCCUUAUGUAUAUUCCACAAAAAAAGUUCACUGUUAUAACCUAACUUGUUUUGAUGAAUUUAAGCUAAAUAUCCCAAAUUCCCGGGCUUAACUUCCCAUGGAAAAUUUUCCGGAAAGUUUCCAACCCUUUGCAACCCUACUGGUCACUUUAAUAAUGGAACACAGGUCACUUUAAUAAUGGAACACAGGCCACUUUAAUAAUGGAACACAGGUCACUUUAAUAUUUACAUACUAUUUUACCCAUUUCAUAUGUAUAUACUGUAUUAUAGUCCAUCUUAUUCAACUAUUGUUGUACAUAUACUAUUCUAUCCACAGAUUCUUCAGAUAUACUAUUCUAUCCACAUACUGUCCAUAAUGUUUAUACAUCCCACAUUGCUCGUCUUAAUAUUUAAACAUUUCUUAAUUCCAUUCUUUUACUUUUAGAUUGGUGUGAAUUGUUAUUUCUCAUUAGAUUUUACUGCCCUGUUGGAGCUAGGAACACAAGCAUUUCACGACACAUGUAAUAACGUCUGCUAAACAUGUGUAUGUGACCAAUAAAAUGUAAAACAGUAGUGGUUGUGUCACACCCUGGCCGAGAGGGGUUCAAUUCAAUUCAGAGGCGUCAAUAGCUCAAUACAAACUAUUUAAAAUAGGCUACUAAAAUCAUCCACAUCCAGAUUAAAAGGAAAAUGCAGUUAGCAGAAUUAAAGGCUGACUUUAUGACCAUGUGGAAUACCUGGGAGACGGAGGUAAGGCUGUUUGUAUGGCUGGCUGAAUUUAGGGAGAGCAGAGAUCUGUAUUUAAUGACUAGAAGCUCAUGUCUCCACCCUAACAAUGGGAGUAGUUGGCAGGAAGGCAGGCGACAAAAUAACCCCAUAGAAACGCAUUGGGCUUAUUUUGGCAAGAUUUUGGCAAGAGGGGAACCUCUCGCUUCGCCUGUUCCUCUCUGUGGAGACCACAGGAGGUUGUCGAGGGGUAGUAAUGGCUGGAACGAAGGUAACUACUGUUUAACUUGACAUGAAACUAAACUAGCGUUUUAAUCCCAGUGCUGAGCUUGUAGUAGCAGGCAGCUAAUUGUUGAAUGACCUGUUUGUAGAAUAGUCAAUUCAAGUAAAAUUGUACUGAUUGCGCUCACACAUCUUAUUGCAGGUGCAGCGAAAUGCUCCAACAGUGCAGUAUUAGAUAACAAUACACAUAUGUAUAUGAUGGUGUGUAUAGACAGUAUAUGAAUAUAAAAGGUGUGUACAGCAGAGGAGGCUGGUGGGAGGAGCUAUAGGAGGACAGGCUCAUUGUAUAGGCUGGAAUUGAAUGGAGUCAAACACAUUUCAAUGUGUUUGGUACCAUUCCAUUGAUUCCAUUCCAGCCAUUACAAUGA
This is a long non-coding RNA of Oncorhynchus kisutch (coho salmon), 2148 nucleotides long. The record is from Ensembl. NCBI's taxonomy places the organism in Eukaryota, Metazoa, Chordata, Actinopteri, Salmoniformes, Salmonidae.